CGAACGGUGAAGGGGCCUGCUUUUGUGGGUCCUGGAUGAGUGGCGAACGGGUGAGUAACACGUGAGUAACCUGCCCCCUUCUUCUGGAUAACCGCAUGAAAGUGUGGCUAAUACGGGAUAUUCUGGGUCUGUCGCAUGGUGGGCCUGGGAAAGAUUGCGCCUUUUUUGGUGUUUUUGGUGGGGGAUGGGCUCGCGGCCUAUCAGCUUGUUGGUGGGGUGAUGGCCUACCAAGGCGGUGACGGGUAGCCGGCCUGAGAGGGUGGACGGUCACACUGGGACUGAGACACGGCCCAGACUCCUACGGGAGGCAGCAGUGGGGAAUAUUGCACAAUGGGCGCAAGCCUGAUGCAGCGACGCCGCGUGAGGGAUGGAGGCCUUCGGGUUGUGAACCUCUUUCGCCAGUGAAGCAGGCCUGCCUCGUUUGUGGGUGGGUUGACGGUAGCUGGAUAAGAAGCGCCGGCUAACUACGUGCCAG
This 475-nucleotide ribosomal RNA is filed under the name Actinomyces naeslundii. RNAcentral's name for it is "bacterial SSU rRNA". It matches the Rfam family "Bacterial small subunit ribosomal RNA", at positions 63 to 511 of the family's 1533-position model. Lineage: Bacteria; Bacillati; Actinomycetota; Actinomycetes; Actinomycetales; Actinomycetaceae. The record is from RNAcentral.